CCCUUAGAUGUUCUGGGCCGCACGCGCGCUACACUGCUGCAUUCAACGAGUCUAAAACCUGCUCUGAUAGGGGUGGGUAAUCUUUUGAAUGUGCAUCGUGAUUGGGAUAGAUGAUUGAAAUUUUUCAUCUUCAACGAGGAAUGCCUAGUAAACGCAAGUCAUCAGCUUGCAUUGAUUACGUCCCUGCCCUUUGUACACACCGCCCGUCGCUCCUACCGAUUGAAUGAUCCGAUGAAUAUCAUGGAUUGAGGAUGCAAGUAGGUUCACCUAUCUUCAUCUUCGAGAAGUGAAGUAAAUCUUAUCAUUUAGAGGAAGGAGAAGUCGUAACA
This 329-nucleotide ribosomal RNA is filed under the name uncultured eukaryote. RNAcentral's name for it is "partial 18S ribosomal RNA". It matches the Rfam family "Eukaryotic small subunit ribosomal RNA", at positions 1470 to 1796 of the family's 1831-position model. The record is from RNAcentral.